Long non-coding RNA from Bos taurus (domestic cattle), 574 nucleotides. NCBI's taxonomy places the organism in Eukaryota, Metazoa, Chordata, Mammalia, Artiodactyla, Bovidae. The record is from Ensembl.
GAUUUGAUCCCUGGAUUGAGAAGAUCCCCUGGAGGAGGGCAUGGCAACCCACUUCAGUAUUCUUGCCUGGAGAUUCUCAUGGACAGAGGAAUCUGGUGGGCUAUAGUCCACGGGUUGCACAGAGUCAGACACGACUGGGCACACAGAAUUUCUGGAGGUCAUGCUCAAGAAUUGGGAACGGCAAAUGAGUUUUGGCUUCUUCAUCAAGAUGAAUUGAUUCCUAAUGGCCACUUGGAAGCACAGCGUUGAGAAGGAUUUGCUCAGUGGGAAAGACUGUCCGCCAUCGAUUGGUGCUGUCUGCCAUCCUGUUCGUUUCGUGCUGUCUGUCUUGCGUGCAGGAUUAGCAGUCGUGGUGCAAGCGCUGAGAUUAUCUGCUGAGUUUUGUCUGGAACUUAACAACAACAAGUCCGUGUUCGUUAAAAUAAAAAAUUAAGCUAAUGUUUUUGAUGGUUCAAAUUUUACAUUUGAAAAAUACAAUAGGAUUCCAUAAAGAUUUAUUUUUUUGAAAGGAAUACUGUGAAAAGUCUGUCUUACUUCUGACUUCUUGACAUCCAGAAAUACCCUUCGCCCUAAG